UAUGAACGCUGGCGGCGUGCCUAAUACAUGCAAGUCGAGCGAACGGACGAGAAGCUUGCUUCUCUGAUGUUAGCGGCGGACGGGUGAGUAACACGUGGAUAACCUACCUAUAAGACUGGGAUAACUUCGGGACACCGGAGCUAAUACCGGAUAAUAUUUUGAACCGCAUGGUUCAAAAGUGAAAGACGGUCUUGCUGUCACUUAUAGAUGGAUCCGCGCUGCAUUAGCUAGUUGGUAAGGUAACGGCUUACCAAGGCAACGAUGCAUAGCCGACCUGAGAGGGUGAUCGGCCACACUGGAACUGAGACACGGACCAGACGACUACGGGAGGCAGCAGUAGGGAAUCGUCCGCAGUGGGCGAAAGCCUGACGGAGCGACGCCGCGUGAGUGGUGAAGGUCUUCGGAUCGGAAAACUCUGUUAUUGGGGAAAAACAUAUGUGUAAGUAACUGUGCACAUCUUGACGGUACCUAAUCAGAAAGCCACGGCUAACUACGUG
RNAcentral lists this ribosomal RNA (497 nucleotides) under uncultured bacterium. RNAcentral describes it as "partial 16S ribosomal RNA". It matches the Rfam family "Bacterial small subunit ribosomal RNA", at positions 29 to 507 of the family's 1533-position model. The record is from RNAcentral.